CCUACGGGGUGCAGCAGUGGGGAAUAUUGGACAAUGGGCGAAAGCCUGAUCCAGCCAUGCCGCGUGUGUGAAGAAGGCCUUCGGGUUGUAAAGCACUUUCAGUGGGGAAGAAAGCCUUGGGGCUAAUACCCUCGAGGAAGGACAUCACCCACAGAAGAAGCACCGGCUAACUCCGUGCCAGCAGCCGCGGUAAUACGGAGGGUGCGAGCGUUAAUCGGAAUUACUGGGCGUAAAGCGCGCGUAGGCGGUCUGAUAAGCCGGUUGGGAAAGCCCCGGGCUCAACCUGGGAACGGCAUCCGGAACUGUCAGGCUAAAGGGCAGGAGAGGAAGGUAGAAUUCCCGGUGUAGCAGUGAAAUGCGUAGAGAUCGGGAGGAAUACCAGUGGCGAAGGCGGCCUUCUGGACUGACACUGACGCUGAGGUGCGAAAGCGUGGGUAGCAAACAGGAUUAGAUACCCUUGUAGUC
RNAcentral lists this ribosomal RNA (465 nucleotides) under Vreelandella stevensii. Its description in RNAcentral is "partial 16S ribosomal RNA". It matches the Rfam family "Bacterial small subunit ribosomal RNA", at positions 338 to 795 of the family's 1533-position model. Lineage: Bacteria; Pseudomonadati; Pseudomonadota; Gammaproteobacteria; Oceanospirillales; Halomonadaceae. The record is from RNAcentral.